GUGGGUAUAGCUCAGAGCCGGAGUGCCUGCAUGGCAUGCAUGAGGUCCUGCGUUCAAUCCCCAGUACCUCCA
This 72-nucleotide transfer RNA is filed under the name Camelus bactrianus (Bactrian camel). It matches the Rfam family "tRNA". From Rfam's summary of the family: Transfer RNA (tRNA) molecules are approximately 80 nucleotides in length. Their secondary structure includes four short double-helical elements and three loops (D, anti-codon, and T loops). RNAcentral also lists the same sequence under 2 other names. Lineage: Eukaryota; Metazoa; Chordata; Mammalia; Artiodactyla; Camelidae. The record is from Rfam by way of RNAcentral.